This 369-nucleotide ribosomal RNA is filed under the name Triticum aestivum (bread wheat). RNAcentral's name for it is "partial small subunit ribosomal RNA". Lineage: Eukaryota; Viridiplantae; Streptophyta; Magnoliopsida; Poales; Poaceae. The record is from RNAcentral.
AUGACAAAGAUUGUCAAAAAAUAUAUGGAGCAUGACAUGAUAGAACUUCCAAUAAAUACCGGCAACACGCAUUGGUAUUUAGCUAUUGUGAAUACAAAAAAGCGUGAGAUCCAAGUACUGGACUCAUUGUGCUGGAAGUUUGAUCGAGAGGACCUUGCUAUUACGAUACGAGGAGUACAAUUUCAUUUGGAUCUUCUUAAAAGUCGGAACUUGAUUAAGGACGAUUGGAAAGACGUUGAUCUUACUGAAUGGAAUAUCACAAAACAGUUACAAAAUCCAAUUCAAAAAGACAGUUCUUCUUGCGGUUUAUUUACGGUCAAAUUUAUGGAAUAUUUCACCGGAUGUACACUAUCCUACCCAAUUACAUAG